Non-coding RNA from Triticum aestivum (bread wheat), 153 nucleotides. The record is from Rfam. Lineage: Eukaryota; Viridiplantae; Streptophyta; Magnoliopsida; Poales; Poaceae.
UUCAUACUCUCUCCGUCUUAAAAUUCUUGUCUUACAUUUGUUUAUUGUCUUACAUUUGUCUAAAUACGGAUGUAUCAAGUCACGUUUUAGUAUUAGAUACAUCCGUAGCUAGACAAAUCUAAGACAAGAAUUUUGAGACGGAGGGAGUACAUG